UGCCAGCAGCCGCGGUAAGACGAAGGUGGCAACCGUUGUUCGGAAUCACUGGGCAUAAAGAGCACGUAGGCGGGGACGUUCGUCGGGUGUGAAAUCCCUCGGCUCAACCGAGGAACUGCGCCCGAAACUGCGUCCCUUGAGGGCAGGAGGGGAGCGUGGAAUUCCUGGUGGAGCGGUGAAAUGCGUUGAUAUCAGGAGGAACACCGGCGGCGAAGGCGACGCUCUGGCCUGCUUCUGACGCUGAGGUGCGAAAGCCAGGGGAGCAAACGGGAUUAGAUA
This 279-nucleotide ribosomal RNA is filed under the name uncultured bacterium. RNAcentral describes it as "partial 16S ribosomal RNA". It matches the Rfam family "Bacterial small subunit ribosomal RNA", at positions 506 to 784 of the family's 1533-position model. The record is from RNAcentral.